Oxyura jamaicensis (ruddy duck) is the source of this 767-nucleotide long non-coding RNA. RefSeq lists it as uncharacterized. Lineage: Eukaryota; Metazoa; Chordata; Aves; Anseriformes; Anatidae. The transcript has 3 exons. The record is from RefSeq and is a predicted model, not a curated record.
AAGGAUGUUAAAUCUGCUAAAAUGACUGCUUGCAUAACACCUGCCCUUCUGGAAGCUAGUAAGAUAAACAGCAUUGCUUGUGGACUAAUGAAAAUAUGGUUGGGGUGAUAAACAGAGCUAUAGGUAGAUCUAUUAGGAAGAAAACGUAAUUGGAUUCCUGGGUAUCUUAAUGGUUGGGGCACUUCCCUUUCUGCCCCACAGCAAAAAGGCCCCAAUCCAGUGGAGCACUUAGCCGUGAGCAGUGCCUCAGAGAUCAAUGGGGCUACUUAUGGUGUGUAAAACCAGGCACGUGGUUAAGUGCUUUAUUGGGUCAGAGCCAGACCGAAUAACACAUACAUAAUGCUGCAUUCAGAUUCACUAUAUUCAAUUCUCAGAUCUGUAUUGAUCUGAAUUUUGAAGCCUUCACUGAAUUAACUUUAAAGUAAAUUUUCUUUUUUUUAUAAACACAAAAUGAAUUUGAUGUAGUUGUCCCUUUCACUCGGAGAUCUGAAAAUACUUUAAAAAAUAUGAAUGUAUUGAUCUUUCACUAUGGGGAGAGUGAGUAGUAGCAACCCAUAAAACAGAUGAGGAAUCUGAAAGUAGAAGAGUGAAGAAAAAAAAAAUCCACAACAACUGAAUGGAAUUGGAAAACAAAUUUGUCUUGAUUGUAUUCCCAUCUGCUUUGGGUUUGGUUUCAUUAGCUUUCUUGAAAGGGAGCUUCUGUCAGGAAAGUAUAUGAAAGCAUUUUUUUUUUUAGUAGAUAUUCAAGAGGAGUUGCACAAGUGUUU